CCUGUCUCAUUUCCUACUAGGGGGCCGGCUCGCCUCGGCCCCUCCCAGCCGCGGCCCUCCUGCCUGGACCUGCCCUUUUCUCCUCCCGCUGCUUGCUUCCGAGGCUUGAGGAGGAGCGGAAAAGGGGGAGAAGGGCUCGACUUCCCAGCCUAUCAUGGAUAGAAGAAUGGGCCUUCAAAGUGGAGUGAUUUCAAUCAUGACUAAUUGCAUGCUCUCGAAUUUUUAAAAAUGAUCAGGAACUGUCUUGUAUUUGAAGAAUUAUUACUUCGUGCUUGUAGAAUUGCAUUCUAAACACAUCUGUCCCCACCUCCCAGAAGAGAUACAGCAUUACGAAUGUAACUGAAGCUACAUCAACUCAUCUUCAGUUGUAGCUCUCUCCCCUGUGUUGAUCUCUGAAUUUAUAACAUCAUAUAAAAAUAAAAGUUGACUAUUUCCA
Molecule: long non-coding RNA, 436 nt
Organism: Mastomys coucha (southern multimammate mouse)
Lineage: Eukaryota; Metazoa; Chordata; Mammalia; Rodentia; Muridae
Exons: 2
Source: RefSeq, a predicted model, not a curated record